CGCCUGUGUGCAGCUACGCAGGCGCAAGUAGCACAUUGAAGGUGAUAUUAUGUGGGACAUGAUGCCGUUUUACCUGGUAGAAACUCACCUCCAUUUCCGAGGAACUGCCUACAUAUUCAGGGCCAAAGAGUAAGCCGAAGAAGUAAUCAGUAUGUGAGAAGCAGCUUCCUUGCUGUGCCCUUCAACCCUGAAGAUGGAUGCAAUACAUUCAUUUGAAAUGAGAGCGAACUACCAGACUGCAUGGCAUCAAGCCUCGGAAGAACAUUUUGAAUAUGAUACCCUGUGAAUGGAGUAUAACAGGACCAGCACCAAUAUACAUAAUUCCACUGUUGGCAAAAUUCAUCAGUCUCUUCACCAUUGACCUCAUGAACAAAAUAUUCGAGCAUGGUAUUUUAUUGUUCCUGCAUCUCCCACUUCCCAUGGCAUAUAAUUUAGUUCUGAUUUAUUUCCUAUCGUAGUUGGUUCAAUGAAGGCUUUUUCUUAUUCUUCGGGUUCUCCCAGUUUAGUAGGUUCCUUGUUCUAAAUACUCCAAAAUUCAUUACUUCACACAUUCUAUUAUUACUACUGCAACAUUUCAUUCUGUCAGAUUCUGGUUUUACACUUUACUCUGUCUAGUCAAUCAUAAAUGUCUCCAAAAAAUUAUUUCUGCCGAUUCAAACCAAAGCCUUACUCUGUGAAUUAGUAUAAAGACUUCAACACAGAAAUUAAUAAUUUGCCCUCUACAUGUAAUUCUAUUUAUUUCCAUUUUCUCUCUUUCUGUGCUAUUCUACACAUCCUUGCUUGUAGAGCUUGCUGGUUUUUAUUUAAAGGAACAUUCCCCUGCUGCUCAAAGACUACAAACAUGUGUAUUUAGUUCAAGGGUUAAGGCCAAGAGUCCUUUCAUGUGAGAUAUUUUGUGCAUAGUAUGGAAACACAGUUAAUACUUGCAAUAUCCUCUAGACAUGAAUCAGUCUGUAUUUAGGGGUGUGCUGUGAUGCAAUCUUGUAAAUUUACUGACCUUUCAGGGUAAUAUACAAUGACCAUCUUAAGGCUUAAAGAGUAAGCGAAGAAAGCAUGCUGCAUAACUGCUUGGAUUAAUCUUUGAUCCUGAAGAUGGAAGCAGUAUAUUCCUCCAAAAUGUCAGUGAACUUCUAAUGGACUACACAGUAUCACAUCUCAUAAGGUACUAUUCCUCAUAAGUAGCCAGAUUUGUGCUUCAGUCAUUUAGCCUCAAGAAAAGAGUACACAUGCCCCAUGUUUCAUACCCACUUUAUCCAUAUUGGUGUUCCCAACACAAAGAUAUUCACUGUUUAUAAGCUUUUGUUUCAUUCUUAUAUCAUGCAUAAGCCUUAUGAUAUCUAAUCCCUUCCUGCAGAUUAAAUUUCAUCAUUUAGAAUUACCCUCACUCUGGUAUGUGGCUAAGUAAUUUCUGCAACUGAUAAAGAAUCUUCAAUAAUAUAUAUAUAUAUAAAACACCAUUUUUGGAAUUCAUGCAUCUGCUUCACCACUUCCUUGCUACGCUUGUCAUAGUUCCUACCUUGCUAACUGGUCCAAUUUGGAGUUCCUUUAGAGCAAACUGUUUCCUUUUGCUGUGUACAAAGACUGUUUAAAUUAUGACAAGCAUGCAUGAUGAAAUAUUUGCACAGAUGACACCAUCCAUGGAUGGCAUUUACUACCAACUUGGAUUAUUUUUAUAUUCAUCUCUGACAUAUCUCCAUGUCAGCAGUUAAAAAUACAUUUAAAAGCAAUUUGCUGAGCAAGACUAGUGCCCUGGAAGGGCAGAUGAAUCAGGCUUACUGCAACUACAUAAUGUGUGUAAUGUACAAAGCACAUAUAGAUUCUUCUGUUCUUGGCUUCAACACUGAAUUAGAAUUCAGCAUAUGAUUUCUACAUGCUAUAUAAUUUUAAAAAAUUUUACAGAUAUUUAAUCUCAUACUUAAAUGCUUUAUUCUAAUCUGUUUAGAUGAAGCUUAUAAAAUUGGCAUAUGAUGCUGGCACAGUUCUCCACUGGUUUCAGAACCUCAAUUACUUCCUUCUUCUUAAUGUGGAAACUAAUCAAAUGUGAAAGGGAAGACGGGAGGCAUAUAUUAUGCAGAAACUACGAACUCUUAGCAUUCUGGUUUAAUGGUAUGGCAAUACUUCUUUCAGCUGGUAUGCAUACUGGCACAGUUGUCAAAAGUCACACACUGACUAGUGCGUUUCAUGUUCUGAUUUUCAGACUAAAACCGAACAUUACAAUACUUGAAACAUGGUUUCAGGAAAAGUACUGAUUGGUGAUGGUGGGGGGGGGGAGAAGGAAAAAAGUGCAAAGUUAUAUGAAAGUAGCAAAAACAGGUUCAGGUUUCAUUUGACAGUCUACAGUGUAAUUUUAGCACUGUUCCCCACCAAAUUUUACAUUCUAUAAAAAUUAUUAAACAUACAAACUGACAAAUCUAGCAGACCUGUAAGAAUGAAUCAGAAUUUAGAAGACAUAUUUUCAAUAUGUCCUGAAGGAACUAUCACAGAUGAAUGCAAACUAUGUAGCAGUUUUUCGGUUUGUGACAAGCAAGGAUAAGGUCUGAUUAUUUCCAAAGUAAUGUUCCCACUUUAAACUUAUUCCAACAGAUGCAAUUAUAAUUUAAAAGCUCUUAUUGUAAGCAGUUCAAGCUUAUAGCCAUAUUGAAGCUCACCCUUGGCUGGAGGUCUCUGCAGUGCUACAGUGAACAAGCCACAGCAGAAACUCAAGAAUAUGACAAGAAAAUAAAACAUGUGGGAUGUAGUUUUGUAGUCAUAGUCAUGUUUUGCCUGCUAUACCCUCUGGAGCAUCAGCACAGGCUGUUUAGUGUGCAGAAGUCAUGAUUAAGUGAUGUAAGCAGAUUGGUCUGAUUUUGAUGUUUAAGAAGAUUAUUAAUUUUGGUCAAAUUUCACACAAGACCAACCAUUCAUAGCAAGGCACAGUAAUGGUAUCCAUAUUCAGUUUAAUUCAAUGAUUGCAUGUAUAUUAAGAAACUUUUGCAUAAAUUGGAAUAAAUCAUAAAGCAUUAGUUAGGUCUUGCUUAGAGGGGAACACAGACACAACAAACAUUUCAAAAACUAUUUUGUCUGUGAAUACCAGUUGCUAUUGGUCAGUUGCUCUUGUCCUGUCAGUUUCUCUGUUCAUCAUUUUCUCAAAAAUGUAUUCAAGACAUAUGACUACAGUCUGCCCAAUAUGCACCAGUACUUAUUUUGAAAGAGAUUCUUACAAGCAGUUGAUCACAAAAUUAUUGUAUGUACCUCAAACAGUUUCCAAAAAUCAAGAACAUAAGCUUGUUUAAACUAUAUAAACUAUUAUAAAACAACCUCUAAUGGGUCCUGUUUCUUCCCUAUUUCAAGUAUUGCAAAAAAUGUAUAUAUUAUGGCAUUACUUAUAAAAUUACCUUGUAAAUAAAUGAAGUAAAACAACAUAGCUCAAAAUAUAACACUCAUAUACUUGGGUCAUAGUUUUUUAAGUAUCUUAGUGACUUUAUUUUUUAAAUCGGUUCUUUUCAAGCAAUGUAACACUAAAAAUAUGUAAGUACUAUGGAAAGAAUACAACACAAAUCACUUCUGGAGAGAAGUAAUAGCCCAACAUAUUACAAGAAAAUUAUAGUGAAACCAAACAUUCAAAAUCAGUGUUAAAUGAAUGGUAAUCCAUGUUUCUUUCCCAAACUGAAAAUUAUACUUCACAUUUAAAGCCUUUUUUCUGGUGUGUAAAAUUUACAAAAUUUUCCUUUCAAACAAUGACUAUCAUAAACUGACACCACAUAUCCACAAAGUGUAACUGACUUUUUCAGCCAUUUUCUGCUUUAAACUUCUUAAAAUCUGUCAUUCAUGAAUUCAGGGAUGAGUAAUACAGAUAUUUGUUGACAAGUGAAAUGUCUGUGAUACAUAAUAUUGAAACACCUCAACAAUAAAAUUUCUUAUAACUGAUGCACUCUUCUGCCAAUCUUCUGCACGAUUUCUUUUUACAAAUAGAAGUUCUGAAUGAAAUGAUUACGAUUUGCUAAUUUUAAGUUGUGGUCUUCUGAGUUAAAACACCACAUUUUGGUAGGUGGUAAUGUCAUACCAGACUACAGUUUCAUAUCCAGAAGAGUAUAAAAUAAAUCUUUACCUCCAUCAGAAGUUUGAAACUCACAUACGAGUUACACAGCACGAAACAUUGACAGAUCCAGUUUACUGUGAUUAUCUAAAAAUAUUCUUACUGGUGUCAAUAUAUGAUAUAUAAAUUCCAUGGGGAAUACUUCUGAAGAGGCAUAUUUUUGACAGUUUCUUCGGUGGCUGUUCCUAUAUCAGAUGCUAAAAUCUGGAUCAUUGUAAAGUUGCAAAGAAAAUAAAGCUCUAUGUCACAGUCUGAAUAAAUGACAAACAUGGAAAACCAGACUAAAGCCACAGCAACUUGUCUUUCUCGACUGAAAAAUGUUCAUGCAUUUGGAGGCUCAGCAUUAUCUUUAAAAAUUAAAGAAUUACAGUACCUACAAUUAUGGGUCAUUGCUCAAAAGUUUAAAAACCAUUAAUCAUCAUUCAAAUUUGUGUGUUCAGUGAUACACAUCAAAGUAUAUAUUUAUGGGAAAUCACUCAAAAAAGAGCUUUGACAUUUCACGAACAAUUUAUCUGUGAAACAAUAUUUUGUCAGGAUACAUCAUUAUAUGCAGAUAAACUGAAGGAUAUUGUUUCUUGCAUCACAUAUAGAUUAUGCAAAUACCUACUCUUUUCUGAAAAUUAUUUUACAAAUAAUAAUGCUUAAUGAGGAUAAAGACUUUUAUCACUGAGACGAUUCAGAAUUUAUAUAAUAAUUAUGCAUGGCAAAACAGAACAUGCGAACUGCAAAUUUUGCAAUGUCCAGAUUCAAUGUCAUUAUUUAAUAUUUUAAUAUGCCACUGUUAUGCUAAUUAAAUAUGCUAGUUAUGCAACUUGCAUUUUUAUCCUCCUCUCACUGAACUUUUAAGAGAAAGGCAGGUUGAAGCAUAAUAAACACCUCCAAAUUUUAAGUCUUCUUAAAUUAUGCUGGAAUAAAAUGAAGUGACAACUUUCCAGAAAUUAUUUUCACAGUUGUCAAUACAGUUAUAAGGAAAUAUUCCUUGAAGAUCACUGCAAUGCAGCUUGUCUGUAAAGUUCCAUUCCACCUGAAAUAUUAACAAAAAAUUGCUUGAAACUGGGCAGUAACCAGUUUUCACAUUUUUAUGAAUGCAACCUUAUCCCUAUGGUAAUCCACUGGCAUAGUAAUGAAGUAAUAAACUCAACAGUUCCAGUACUUUUAAGUUUUUAUUUUAUAUUUUUUGGUUCAAGUUAAUAUUGUUGUGGAUCAUUAACAAAGAAGAAUUCUGUCUUCUGAGAUGUGGCAAUGUGUAGUAUCCUUAAAAUUUAUCAAUGUUUUGGAGGAAUGUAUUGCCUCCAUCUUCAGGGUCAAAGAGUAAGCUGAGUGAGCACACAAACUCCUUCUUGCUUGCUCUACUUACUUUUUUGACACAAAA
Cryptotermes secundus is the source of this 5447-nucleotide long non-coding RNA. RefSeq lists it as uncharacterized. Lineage: Eukaryota; Metazoa; Arthropoda; Insecta; Blattodea; Kalotermitidae. The transcript has 2 exons. The record is from RefSeq and is a predicted model, not a curated record.